GACGAGUAUAAACACUCUAGCCUCUGCACCUGGGUCAAAUGAUACGGUGCUUUGGCCGUGACAAGACUUGAAAAAGUUUGUCACCAGGGCGCAGGAAGAAAUGACUACGUCUCCCGUAUUUGGAAAGGUGUACAUGGGCUCUCAAC
Escherichia coli ISC11 is the source of this 146-nucleotide non-coding RNA. The record is from Rfam. Lineage: Bacteria; Pseudomonadati; Pseudomonadota; Gammaproteobacteria; Enterobacterales; Enterobacteriaceae.